RNAcentral lists this ribosomal RNA (497 nucleotides) under uncultured bacterium. RNAcentral describes it as "partial 16S ribosomal RNA". It matches the Rfam family "Bacterial small subunit ribosomal RNA", at positions 28 to 507 of the family's 1533-position model. The record is from RNAcentral.
GAUGAACGCUGGCGGCGUGCCUAAUACAUGCAAGUCGAGCGAACAGACGAGGAGCUUGCUCCUCUGACGUUAGCGGCGGACGGGUGAGUAACACGUGGAUAACCUACCUAUAAGACUGGGAUAACUUCGGGAAACCGGAGCUAAUACCGGAUAAUGUAUCGAACCGCAUGGUUCAAUAGUGAAAGACGGUUUUGCUGUCACUUAUAGAUGGAUCCGCGCCGCAUUAGCUAGUUGGUAAGGUAACGGCUUACCAAGGCAACGAUGCGUAGCCGACCUGAGAGGGUGAUCGGCCACACUGGAACUGAGACACGGUCCAGACUCCUACGGGAGGCAGCAGUAGGGAAUCUUCCGCAAUGGGCGAAAGCCUGACGGAGCAACGCCGCGUGAGUGAUGAAGGUCUUCGGAUCGUAAAACUCUGUUAUUAGGGAAGAACAAAUGUGUAAGUAACUAUGCACGUCUUGACGGUACCUAAUCAGAAAGCCACGGCUAACUACGUG